Molecule: ribosomal RNA, 468 nt
Filed under: uncultured bacterium
Lineage: Bacteria
Description: partial 16S ribosomal RNA
Rfam family: Bacterial small subunit ribosomal RNA
Source: RNAcentral
GACGAACGCUGGCGGCGUGCUUAACACAUGCAAGUCGAACGGAAAGGCCCUGCUUUUGUGGGGUGCUCGAGUGGCGAACGGGUGAGUAACACGUGAGUAACCUGCCCUUGCCUUUGGGAUAACUUCAGGAAACUGGGGCUAAUACCGGAUAGGAGCUCCUGCUGCAUGGUGGGGGUUGGAAAGUUUCGGCGGUUGGGGAUGGACUCGCGGCUUAUCAGCUUGUUGGUGGGGUAGUGGCUUACCAAGGCUUUGAAGGGUAGCCGGCCUGCGAGGGUGACCGGCCAAAUUGGGACUGAGAUACGGCCCAGACUCCUACGGGAGGCAGCAGUGGGGAAUAUUGCACAAUGGGCGGAAGCCUGAUGCAGCAACGCCGCGUGCGGGAUGACGGCCUUCGGGUUGUAAACCGCUUUCGCCUGUGACGAAGCGUGAGUGACGGUAAUGGGUAAAGAAGCACCGGCUAACUACGUG